Molecule: small RNA, 40 nt
Filed under: Plasmodium falciparum 3D7
Lineage: Eukaryota; Apicomplexa; Aconoidasida; Haemosporida; Plasmodiidae
Description: Pfa-npcR7222
Source: RNAcentral
UUUUUUGAAGUAAAUAUCAUGAUCUAUUUCUGGAAUUCUG